This 519-nucleotide ribosomal RNA is filed under the name uncultured bacterium. RNAcentral's name for it is "bacterial SSU rRNA". It matches the Rfam family "Bacterial small subunit ribosomal RNA", at positions 335 to 869 of the family's 1533-position model. The record is from RNAcentral.
ACUCCUACGGGAGGCAGCAGUAGGGAAUAUUGCACAAUGGGCGAAAGCCUGAUGCAGCAACGCCGCGUGUGCGAAGAAGGCCUUCGGGUCGUAAAGCACUUUUCUGGGAGAUGAGAAAGGACAGUAUCCCAGGAAUAAGUCUCGGCUAACUACGUGCCAGCAGCCGCGGUAAAACGUAGGAGGCGAGCGUUAUCCGGAUUCACUGGGCGUAAAGCGCGUGCAGGCGGUUUGGUAAGUUGGGCGUGAAAGCUCCUGGCUCAACUGGGAGAGGUCGUCCAAAACUACCAGACUAGAGAGCGGUAGAGGAAAAUGGAAUUCCCGGUGUAGUGGUGAAAUGCGUAGAUAUCGGGAGGAACACCAGUGGCGAAGGCGAUUUUCUGGACCGUUUCUGACGCUCAGACGCGAAAGCUAGGGUAGCAAACGGGAUUAGAGACCCCGGUAGUCCUAGCUGUAAACGAUGUGAACUUGGCGUUGGUGGCUUAAACACCAUCAGUGCCGUAGCUAACGCGAUAAGUUCAC